RNAcentral lists this ribosomal RNA (254 nucleotides) under uncultured bacterium. RNAcentral's name for it is "partial 16S ribosomal RNA". It matches the Rfam family "Bacterial small subunit ribosomal RNA", at positions 524 to 776 of the family's 1533-position model. The record is from RNAcentral.
UACAGAGGGGGCAAGCGUUGUCCGGAUUUACUGGGCGUACAGCGCGCGCAGGCGGACCUGGACGUGCCGUGUGACAGCCCACCGCUCACCGGUGGAAGGCCACGGUACACGACAGGUCUGGAGGCAGGGAGAGGGAUGUGGAAUGCCCGAUGGAGCGGUGAAAUGCGUAGAGAUCGGGCGGAACACCGGUGGCGAAGGCGGCAUCCUGGACCGGCAUUGACGCUGAGUGAGCGAAAGCCAGGGGAGCAAACGGG